CACACAGAAGUAUAUUAUAGUUCAGCAUCAAAUUAAUGGAAGAUGAGAGAAAACAUAGGCUGUAGAACAGAAGCACAUUAAUGGACACUGCUGAAGACCUCAGCGAAAUAACGCUAGCACAUACAGAUUCUUGAACAUAGGAGACAGGUAGACAUGAUAGCGGAAAGCUAAGGAAUGAUCAACUCUUUCAGUUGUUUAUGAUUCUGCAGUAACUUCUGUUGUUAUCGCAGGGAUAGUCUCAUGGUCACCCUCAAGCUUGCUUAAGUUGCCUUUCUCCUUGAUAAGUUGAAUAUGGUGAUGCUUACAGUAGAGGCGCCCUUCAUGUGCGAUAUAGUUGGAAAGGCUAAUUACACACCCUCCAUGGCUACAUUUGAAGC
This 377-nucleotide long non-coding RNA is filed under the name Solanum lycopersicum (tomato). RNAcentral describes it as "long non-coding RNA (SLYC_LNC000111)". Lineage: Eukaryota; Viridiplantae; Streptophyta; Magnoliopsida; Solanales; Solanaceae. The record is from RNAcentral.